Mugil cephalus (flathead mullet) is the source of this 464-nucleotide long non-coding RNA. RefSeq lists it as uncharacterized. The record is from RefSeq and is a predicted model, not a curated record. Lineage: Eukaryota; Metazoa; Chordata; Actinopteri; Mugiliformes; Mugilidae. The transcript is spliced from 3 exons.
CACCUGUUCUGUUUCCUUGUUGGAGUGGAGUCUUCUUCAUCUCUCUGGACUGGUUAAAUAAACUUGAAGCUGGACUCGUUCCAGUGAGUAGCUCACCUGUGUCAGAGUCUCUAGGGUCCAGGUUGGAGUGGAGUCUUCUUCUGAACUCUGUGGACUGGUUAAAUAAACUGUGAAGGCAGAAAGUGUGUGUGAGCUGAUGUGAAUCCAGCAGAAUGGAUCAGUGUGAGGACAGAGAGGAGGGAGUCCCUCCCUCUAAAACCACUCUGAGUGGAAAACAGCAUUUUAAACAACAACAUUUAUCUGAGAAAAGGUAAGAUAAUGUUACAAGAAGUACAGAAGUCAGUGAGCGCCCCCUUGUGUUCAGUCAGGUUUUCAGCUGGUCUCAGUGGUCCAGUUGGUCCACAGUGAUCUGCUCUUUCUAGUUUUUAUAGCAGCUUCAGUAACUGUGAGGUAAUGUUUUUCAU